CGCGGCCGGAGCAGCGCCCGCGGCUCCCGCGGCCAAGGAGGAGCCGCAGGAGCCGGGACGGCACGGAGCGGCGGAGGGGCUGCGGGAGAGCCCAGAGGAGGGAUGCGGAGGGAUGCGAGACCCCCGUACCGCUCCCCGAGAGCCGUGCUGGUGCUGCGGCCCCGCAGCGGGGGUGCUCGCCGUGCGGCUGGACAGAGGGCUGCGGACGGGCUGCCCGACACCGCCCGGCAGGUCACGGCCAGCCCUGGCGUCGUAAGGCGAGCGCCGGGGUUACGAAGGUAUGGAGACACUCUUGGACACUCUGAAUUUCAGGAAUCCCCUUGAGCCACCACAUACCAGAAGCCACCACAUCCUUAGAAGAUCCGUGAGGCUGUUCUAUCUUUCAGUAAGUGCUUUGAAAUACUUUUGUCUGUGUUGCUGGUCCCACAGUAAACACAAUAUUUUAGAAUCAAGAACUUAGGUCACUGAAUAGUAUUUUCAAAUAAUUAUUCCUGUUUAAGCAUGAAUUUAGUGAAAUAUGCAUCUAACAGAUGGAUUCUUAAUUGUGGUGACUUUGGAGGUUUCAGGUGUUGGCAGAUGUAUUGAAAAGGUGUCCUCCCAGAAAAAAAAGCAUAUUAGGGUUUUAUCAUAAAGUAACUUCAGCUCUGCUGAAAUGGAACAUACAAGCAUUAACAAACAUUGCCUUAAACCCCCCUGUAUAUGAAACUGUUCACAUAAUGCUGAGCAAUAAUGCUUUGUCCCUCUUUGUCCCUCUUUUGGAACCUUUUGAAAGCACAGUAUCUUUGAGCUAAGUAAAUAAUUAAGUGAAAUAAGAAAUUUAUCUCCCUAUUAUGAUCUGUAGCUUCUUAUUACUUCUAUCCAGUUCUGCAUUCAGCUCUGUAACUCUCAUAUGUCAUAUGCAGCUUGUUUUCUCUCAGUGUCUACAGGGAAUUAUGUGAGCAGUAUAAUUCUUCCCUUUGGUAGUUUUCUUUGAGGUGGAGAGUCAGUUGCACAUCUCUGCUGCUGUAUUUUUGUGCAAGAGAAGGUAUGAUCAAAGAAAUAUGCCCUAUGCUUCAGCAGAAAAUGAUAUUUGUGACAAUACAUAUUUCAUGAAAACUGUAAAUUCAAUUUAGUGAAGAAAUAGGACUUUGUGCAAACAACAAAGGAAAAGCUUUCAUUAAGGUGAAAGGAGAGAGAAUUUUUUCUUCUGUGAGUGUAUACAGAGUAAGUAAAUACAUAAAUAGCAGUGAUGUUUAAACAGAUUUUUCCCAUAAAACUCUUCCUACCCAAAACCCAUAGGACAGUUCAAGUAGUGAAAUUUAUGUCCAGUAGAAGUAAAACAUUCUAAAAUUUAAUAGAAACAAAUUAUGCUCAUGCAUUUUCAUGCUGAAAAAUAUCAAAAUUAAACAAAUUAAAAGAAGAGCAAAAAUAGGUGAAAUCAAGAUUCUGCUUUGCUUUUCAUAUGUUUUGAAAAUUAUCUUAAUCUACCACUACCUAAUAUUUAGUUUCUAAAGUAAUUAAGAGCAUUGUGUAGUGUCUGUGUAAUAAACAUACAACUUUAAACA
RNAcentral lists this long non-coding RNA (1544 nucleotides) under Cyanistes caeruleus (blue tit). RNAcentral's name for it is "lncRNA (ENSCCEG00000015090.1)". Lineage: Eukaryota; Metazoa; Chordata; Aves; Passeriformes; Paridae. The record is from RNAcentral.